Molecule: ribosomal RNA, 379 nt
Filed under: uncultured cyanobacterium
Lineage: Bacteria; Bacillati; Cyanobacteriota
Description: bacterial SSU rRNA
Rfam family: Bacterial small subunit ribosomal RNA
Source: RNAcentral
GGCAACCCUGACGGAGCAACGCCGCGUGGGGGAGGAAGGUCUGUGGAUUGUAAACCCCUUUUCUCUGUGAAGAAGAUCUGACGGUAGCAGAGGAAUCAGCAUCGGCUAACUCCGUGCCAGCAGCCGCGGUAAGACGGAGGAUGCAAGCGUUAUCCGGAAUUAUUGGGCGUAAAGCGUCCGUAGGCGGUUCAUCAAGUCUGCCGUUAAAGACUGCAGCUCAACUGUGGGCCGGCGGUGGAAACUGAUGAACUUGAGUAUGGUAGGGGUAGAGGGAAUUCCCAGUGUAGCGGUGAAAUGCGUAGAUAUUGGGAAGAACACCAGUGGCGAAGGCGCUCUGCUGGGCCAUAACUGACGCUGAGGGACGAAAGCUAGGGGAGCG